UACGUAGGGGGCGAGCGUUGUCCGGAAUCAUUGGGCGUAAAGAGCUCGUAGGCGGUUCAGCAAGUCGGCUGUGAAAUUCCGAGGCUCAACCUCGGAACUGCAGUCGAUACUGCUGUGACUCGAGUCCGGUAGAGGAGAAUGGAAUUCCCGGUGUAGCGGUGAAAUGCGCAGAUAUCGGGAGGAACACCAGUGGCGAAGGCGGCCUUCUGGACAGUGACUGACGCUGAGACGCGAAAGCGUGGGGAGCAAACAGG
RNAcentral lists this ribosomal RNA (254 nucleotides) under uncultured bacterium. RNAcentral's name for it is "partial 16S ribosomal RNA". It matches the Rfam family "Bacterial small subunit ribosomal RNA", at positions 524 to 776 of the family's 1533-position model. The record is from RNAcentral.